Molecule: ribosomal RNA, 468 nt
Filed under: uncultured bacterium
Lineage: Bacteria
Description: partial 16S ribosomal RNA
Rfam family: Bacterial small subunit ribosomal RNA
Source: RNAcentral
GACGAACGCUGGCGGCGUGCUUAACACAUGCAAGUCGAACGGAAAGGCCCUGCUUUUGUGGGGUGCUCGAGUGGCGAACGGGUGAGUAACACGUGAGUAACAUGCCCUUGACUUUGGGAUAACUUCAGGAAACUGGGGCUAAUACCGGAUAGAAGCUCCUGAUCCACGUGGGUGGUUGGAAAAUUUCGGCGGUUGGGGAUGGACUCGCGGGUUAUCAGCUUGUUGGGGGGGUAGUGGAUUACCAAGGCUUUGACGGGUAGCCGGCCUGAGAGGGUGACCGGCCACAUUGGGCCUGCGAUACGGCGCAGACUCGUACGGGAGGCAGCAGUGGGGAAUAUUGCACAAUGGGCGGAAGCCUGAUGCAGCAACGCCGCGUGCGGGAUGACGGCCUUCGGGUGGUAAACCGCUUUCGCCUGUGACGAAGCGUGAGUGACGGUAAUGGGUAAAGAAGCACCGGCUAACUACGUG